Molecule: unclassified non-coding RNA, 76 nt
Filed under: Candidatus Kentrum sp. LFY
Lineage: Bacteria; Pseudomonadati; Pseudomonadota; Gammaproteobacteria
Source: RNAcentral
AGGAACCGGAUGCGGGAAAACCGCGCGUUCGAGUCUGUGCGGGGAGGCACUCGGUAACGGGUGUUUCUACCGCGAG